This 253-nucleotide ribosomal RNA is filed under the name uncultured bacterium. RNAcentral's name for it is "partial 16S ribosomal RNA". It matches the Rfam family "Bacterial small subunit ribosomal RNA", at positions 524 to 776 of the family's 1533-position model. The record is from RNAcentral.
UACGUAGGGUGCGAGCGUUGUCCGGAAUUAUUGGGCGUAAAGGGCUCGUAGGCGGUUUGUCGCGUCGGGAGUGAAAUCCACUGGCUUAACUGGUGGCUUGCUUUCGAUACGGGCAGACUGGAGGUAUGCAGGGGAGAACGGAAUUCCUGGUGUAGCGGUGAAAUGCGCAGAUAUCGGGAGGAACACCAGUGGCGAAGGCGACUACCUGGCCUGUUCUUGACGCUGAGGCGCGAAAGCUAGGGGAGCAAACGGG